Molecule: ribosomal RNA, 253 nt
Filed under: uncultured Nitrosospira sp.
Lineage: Bacteria; Pseudomonadati; Pseudomonadota; Betaproteobacteria; Nitrosomonadales; Nitrosomonadaceae
Also listed under: 1 other name
Description: partial 16S ribosomal RNA
Rfam family: Bacterial small subunit ribosomal RNA
Source: RNAcentral
UACGUAGGGUGCGGGCGUUAAUCGGAAUUACUGGGCGUAAAGAGUGCGUAGGCGGCUUCUCAAGUCAGGUGUGAAAUCCCCGGGCUUAACCUGGGAAUGGCGCUUGAAACUGGGGGGCUUGAGUGUGGCAGAGGGGGGUGGAAUUCCACGUGUAGCAGUGAAAUGCGUAGAGAUGUGGAGGAACACCGAUGGCGAAGGCAGCCCCCUGGGCUAACACUGACGCUCAGGCACGAAAGCGUGGGGAGCAAACAGG